RNAcentral lists this ribosomal RNA (775 nucleotides) under uncultured Bacilli bacterium. RNAcentral describes it as "bacterial SSU rRNA". It matches the Rfam family "Bacterial small subunit ribosomal RNA", at positions 18 to 773 of the family's 1533-position model. Lineage: Bacteria; Bacillati; Bacillota; Bacilli. The record is from RNAcentral.
CAUGGCUCAGGACGAACGCUGGCGGCGUGCCUAAUACAUGCAAGUCGAGCGAAUCUUCAGGAGCUUGCUCCUGAAGGUUAGCGGCGGACGGGUGAGUAACACGUGGGCAACCUGCCUGUAAGACUGGGAUAACUUCGGGAAACCGGAGCUAAUACCGGAUAAUCCUUUCCCUCUCAUGAGGGAAAGCUGAAGGUCGGCUUCGGCUGACACUUACAGAUGGGCCCGCGGCGCAUUAGCUAGUUGGUGAGGUAACGGCUCACCAAGGCAACGAUGCGUAGCCGACCUGAGAGGGUGAUCGGCCACACUGGGACUGAGACACGGCCCAGACUCCUACGGGAGGCAGCAGUAGGGAAUCUUCCGCAAUGGACGAAAGUCUGACGGAGCAACGCCGCGUGAGCGAUGAAGGCCUUCGGGUCGUAAAGCUCUGUUGUUAGGGAAGAACAAGUAUCGGAGUAACUGCCGGUACCUUGACGGUACCUAACCAGAAAGCCACGGCUAACUACGUGCCAGCAGCCGCGGUAAUACGUAGGUGGCAAGCGUUGUCCGGAAUUAUUGGGCGUAAAGCGCGCGCAGGCGGUCCUUUAAGUCUGAUGUGAAAGCCCACGGCUCAACCGUGGAGGGUCAUUGGAAACUGGGGGGACUUGAGUGCAGAAGAGGAAAGCGGAAUUCCACGUGUAGCGGUGAAAUGCGUAGAGAUGUGGAGGAACACCAGUGGUGAAGGCGGCUUUCUGGUCUGUAACUGACGCUGUGGCGCGAAAGCGUGGGGGGAGCAAAC